UAUCUCUGUAGAGUCUGCAUAUCAAUAAGCGGAGGAAAAGAAACUAACUAGGAUUCCCUCAGUAACGGCGAGUGAAGCGGGAAGAGCUCAAAUUUGAAAUCUUCAAGGUUCUACCUUGACGAAUUGUAGUUUAAAGAAGUGUUUUCUGUUGGAGUUUUGGUAAAAGUUCUUUGGAAUAGGACAUCAUAGAGGGUGAGAAUCCCGUAUUUGACCAUUAUUUCCAGCUUUGUGAUACACUUUCAAAGAGUCGGAUUGUUUGGGAAUGCAGUCCAAAAUGGGUGGUAAAUUUCAUCUAAAGCUAAAUAUUGGCGAGAGACCGAUAGCGAACAAGUACCGUGAGGGAAAGAUGAAAAGAACUUUGAAAAGAGAGUUAAACAGUACGUGAAAUUGUCAAAAGGGAAGCGUUUGACACCAGUGUUGUUUAGUUGAAAAUCAAUUUAUGAUGGCUUGAUGCUAAGCUUUAAGACUUUAUCCGCUUGUUGUUUAGUUUUCUUGUCUUUGUGAAUGCACUUUUCGUGGAACAAGUCAACAUCAAUUUCUUUUGCUGUAAAAGGGUAAGAGGAAGGUGGCUUCGGCUUCGGUUGAAGUGUUUAUAGCCUUUUAUCUCUGCAGUCGGAGAGAUUGAGGUCUGCAGCGUAGACUCUUCGGGGUUAGAUACGUCGGUGCUAAGCUAUAGCUUUUCAUAGACAACUUGUUGACUAUGUUCAGUCAUGUAGCUUACUCGCUGCUGCUAUUUUACCUACGCUUAGGAUGUUGAGUCAUCACACAUCUCU
This 773-nucleotide ribosomal RNA is filed under the name uncultured Neocallimastigales. Its description in RNAcentral is "partial large subunit ribosomal RNA". It matches the Rfam family "Eukaryotic large subunit ribosomal RNA", at positions 24 to 618 of the family's 3401-position model. The record is from RNAcentral. Lineage: Eukaryota; Fungi; Neocallimastigomycota; Neocallimastigomycetes; Neocallimastigales.